This 72-nucleotide transfer RNA is filed under the name Angiostrongylus costaricensis. It matches the Rfam family "tRNA". From Rfam's summary of the family: Transfer RNA (tRNA) molecules are approximately 80 nucleotides in length. Lineage: Eukaryota; Metazoa; Nematoda; Chromadorea; Rhabditida; Metastrongylidae. The record is from Rfam by way of RNAcentral.
GACCGCUUGGCGCAAUGGUAGUGCGCUAGACUCCAGCUCGAAAGGUUGAGAGUUCGAUCCGCUCAGUGGUCG